RNAcentral lists this ribosomal RNA (428 nucleotides) under uncultured bacterium. RNAcentral's name for it is "partial 16S ribosomal RNA". It matches the Rfam family "Bacterial small subunit ribosomal RNA", at positions 354 to 796 of the family's 1533-position model. The record is from RNAcentral.
GUAGGGAAUAUUGCGCAAUGGGGGAAACCCUGACGCAGCGACGCCGCGUGAGUGAUGAAGGCCUUCGGGUCGUAAAGCUCUGUUGCAGGGGAAUAAAAAAAUGAAGGUACCCUGUGAGGAAGGAUCGGCUAACUUCGUGCCAGCAGCCGCGGUAAGACGAGGGAUCCUAGCGUUGCUCGGAAUCAUUGGGCGUAAAGAGGGCGUAGGUGGCUUGGUAAGUCAGGUGUGAAAGCCAAGGGCUCAACCCUGGAAGUGCAUUUGAUACUGCUGAGCUUGAGUGUCGGAGAGGUUACCGGAAUACCUGGUGUAGUGGUGAAAUACGUAGAUAUCAGGUGGAACACCGGAGGCGAAGGCGGGUAACUGGACGAACACUGACACUGAGGCCCGAAAGCGUGGGGAUCAAACAGGAUUAGAAACCCUAGUAGUCC